CUUAGAGUUUGAUCCUGGCUCACGAUGAACGCUGGCGGCAUGCCUAAUACAUGCAAGUCGAACGGGGUGCUUGCACCCAGUGGCGAACGGGUGAGUAACACGUAUCUAAUCUACCUUUUAGUGGGGGAUAACAGUUGGAAACGACUGCUAAUACCGCAUACGACGUCAUUAUCGCAUGAGAAGACGUUAAAAGAUCCGUUUAGACCACUAGAAGAUGAAGAUGCGGCGUAUUAUCUAGUAGGUGAGGUAAUGGCUCACCUAGGCGAUGAUACGUAGCCGAACUGAGAGGUUGAUCGGCCACAUUGGGACUGAGAUACGGCCCAGACUCCUACGGGAGGCAGCAUUAGGGAAUUUUUCACAAUGGACGAAAGUCUGAUGAAGCAAUGCCGCGUGAGUGAUGACGGUCUUCGGAUUGUAAAGCUCUGUUGUAAGGGAAGAAAUGGUAGGAUAGGAAAUGAUCCUGCUUUGACGGUACCUUACCAGAAAGCCACGGCUAACUAUGUGCCAGCAGCCGCGGUAAUACAUAGGUGGGCAAGCGUUAUCCGGAUUUAUUGGGCGUACAGGGUGCGUACGUGGGUUCGAUAAGUUUAGGGUUAAAUCCCGGGGGCUCAACCCCGGUUCGCCUUGAAAACUGUCGUACUAGAAUACAGAAGAAGGUAGAUGGAAUUCCAUGUGUAGCGGUGAAAUGCCUAGA
Molecule: ribosomal RNA, 694 nt
Filed under: uncultured bacterium
Lineage: Bacteria
Description: bacterial SSU rRNA
Rfam family: Bacterial small subunit ribosomal RNA
Source: RNAcentral